GCCACCUUCUAACUUUUUUGAUUUAACAUUUAGUUAUUUAUGUACAGGAUUGUGUGUAAAUUAUUUUAUCUAUUUUUUGUCUUUCAUCAUUUAGUUCCAUCAUAUCUGCCAUUUGAUAGAAUCUUCGAUGAUAGAAUCAAGAUCUUUCCUUUAGCAUUAUUUUAUUACUGCUGGAAAUUAGCCAGAUCAAGACGGCAAGUGAGCUAAUAUGAUC
RNAcentral lists this long non-coding RNA (214 nucleotides) under Elaeis guineensis (African oil palm). RNAcentral describes it as "long non-coding RNA (EGUI_LNC021861)". Lineage: Eukaryota; Viridiplantae; Streptophyta; Magnoliopsida; Arecales; Arecaceae. The record is from RNAcentral.